This 253-nucleotide ribosomal RNA is filed under the name uncultured bacterium. Its description in RNAcentral is "partial 16S ribosomal RNA". It matches the Rfam family "Bacterial small subunit ribosomal RNA", at positions 524 to 776 of the family's 1533-position model. The record is from RNAcentral.
UACAGAGGGUGCAAGCGUUGUUCGGAAUUACUGGGCGUAAAGCGCACGUAGGCGGAUCGUUAAGUCGGGGGUGAAAUCCCGAGGCUCAACCUCGGAACUGCCUUCGAUACUGGCGAUCUUGAGUCCGGGAGAGGUGAGUGGAACUCCGAGUGUAGAGGUGAAAUUCGUAGAUAUUCGGAAGAACACCAGUGGCGAAGGCGGCUCACUGGCCCGGUACUGACGCUGAGAUACGAAAGCGUGGGGAGCAAACAGG